UUACACAGUGAAAGAUUAUUUAUCUGUUAAUAAAUGAAAUAUAAAUUUUGCAAGUAAAUGGAUGAAGCUAUAAAAAUCAUUCAUAGUGAAAUAACACAAAAUACAAAGAAAAAUAUUUUUAGUUUUCUCUCACAUGUGGGUGUUAACUUUUAAAAAUCUAUGGACACUUCAAGAGAAAUAAUCACAGACAUUAAGUAGAUAGAAAUAUAUAAACGAAGGAGUUCUAAUGAAGAAAAAUAUAAUAUAGUAUAUAAUCAAGACACUAAAAUACAAGGAUUAAAUGAGAUGAGAUGGAAAGAAAGUGUAAGGAGGAUAAUGCGGAAAGAUAGCUAACACUGACAUCCUUUUUGCAAAGUCAUAUAGAAGUUUAAUACUGUAGAAAGUUCCUAAAAUAUAUAAAUAUGAGAAAGGAAAUUAAGUGGAAUAACCAUAUAAGAGGGAAACAAUUCCUCAUCUGGUUUGCAUUUUUUUUAAGUUGUUUGCUAAAAUGGUCAGAUGUCCUCUCCCUACCUGAAACAUUGCCAGGGCUAUUGGUUACUCUUCAUGAUCUAAUGGCAAGGCCCCAUUACUUAGUCCACAAUUAUUUAUGUCAUCAAUGAGGUAAAAUGAAGCUAUAGUGGCCAAAUAGAGCUUCACCUGUACUUACUGUUUUUCUUGGUGCUAGAAGAUACCUCAUACUCUAAGGAAAGAGAAAAAUAAUUACUACUAUCACAGAGAUAUAUAACCUGUGGCCUGAGCAAGCAACCUUUCUGUAAGAUAUAGUGAAAUACUAAUUGUAUAAAUAUUUCAGGAACAACAAGUCAAUCUUUGAUUAGAUUUAAGACUCACUCCAUGGCAUGGAGUCUAUCUCUGGCACAGCUGGAGUGGCCAAGACUAGAUAAGGUACUAAGGGACAAUUGCUAUGAAUACUCUGUCAAAGAAAUGUAUGAAAGAAAUAUACCAUAGGUGAGAAAAUCAGGUAAAUUUUAUCAGAAAAGGGUCUUCUUGCAGUAGAUAAUAAUUAACAAAGACCUACAAUUGGACAAUUCGAAGAAAGUGAGACUUUUGAACACUCAGACCUAAUUGGGAUGUCUUUAUCAAAAUCUUCCAUUCAACAAUUAGGUGUUUAUGAAUAGGAGGCCACAAAAAGAUUGUAGAAGCCAAGGAUGAUGGGUGAUUCCAAAAUUCUAGCAAAUUAUAGACACAAUUCUGAAAUGUAUACGAAUUCAGAAAAAGUAGCCAUGCAUACAAGAACUAUAAACACAGGUUGAAAUCAAACAAAUUCCCAGCAACGGAAAUGGAAAAUAAAUACAGGAAGCCAGGACUAACCAAGAAGCUCCCUGCAGUAGAUAUCUUCUAUAAUGGGAAAAUCAGUUUUCUCUUGUGGAGCUUAACUGUGUGUAUCAAAAUCUCUCCAGGGCUCCCAGCAGUAUCUCAAGUACUCAGGGUAUUGGGCGAGGGAGUGUCUUACCACCUGCUCUGAGUGCAGCAGGUCCUCUGGGAUGAAUCAGGAUAUGGAGUCUUCAGGAGGACAGACCAACUAGGGGUCUGCCACAGCAGCAUAAUCUGGACCCCCGAGAUCUUUCAAACACUUGUCCACCAACUGGACAGCAUACACCAGCUGAUAUGAGGCCCCCAACACACAUAUGGUAGAGGACUUCCGGGUCUGUGUUCAUUCAGAGAUGAUGCACCUAACCCUUAAGAGACUGGAGAUUCCAGGGAGUUUAGAGGUCAGUGGAGUGGGGGAUGGGAGCAUCCACUUGGAGACAGGAUGGGGUGGGAAGGAGGUGUGGGAUGUGGAGCAGUCAGAGGGUGGAUCAGGGGGGCAGGAAAUGGAAUGUAAAAAAAAUGAAUAACAAAUAAAGUUAAAUUUAAAAAAUAGUAUUCAUAAACAAUAUAAGUUAAUAUGGAAAUUGGCUUAUACUAUAAAGGAAAAAACAAGCAAAAUUGCAUCAAAUGUAAGAAUUGUGUGCUAAUAUAAGCAAUACAAUAUCUCUUGCAAUAAACUUGUGCUGCUCUUAUUUUUUUAACAUAUAUUAAAAUCAAAUCUUUGGG
Molecule: long non-coding RNA, 2034 nt
Filed under: Mus musculus (house mouse)
Lineage: Eukaryota; Metazoa; Chordata; Mammalia; Rodentia; Muridae
Description: long non-coding RNA chr15:22958362-22960396
Source: RNAcentral